UUUCUUUUUUUUCUUGAUUAACUUAGAAUAAAUAAAAAUUUUGUUUCAAUAACAAUGAUAUAUAAAAAUGAGAUGUAGCCCUCUACAAAGUGAAAUGGAGGAGAAGGAUCUAUGUGGAUGAUCCCAACUAGUUUAAGACUAAGGCUUACUUAAUUUGUAUUUGGAAAUAUAGAAAUAAUGGGGCUAAAUGUAUAAUUACUACUAUGGGAAAGUAUUAUCAACGAAUGGUGUUUCACUUACAGGAAAAUUAAUGGA
This 255-nucleotide unclassified non-coding RNA is filed under the name Hevea brasiliensis (rubber tree). Lineage: Eukaryota; Viridiplantae; Streptophyta; Magnoliopsida; Malpighiales; Euphorbiaceae. The record is from RNAcentral.